UGGGGAAUUUUGGACAAUGGGCGAAAGCCUGAUCCAGCAAUGCCGCGUGUGUGAAGAAGGCCUUCGGGUUGUAAAGCACUUUUGUCCGGAAAGAAAUGGCUCUGGUUAAUACCUGGGGUCGAUGACGGUACCGGAAGAAUAAGGACCGGCUAACUACGUGCCAGCAGCCGCGGUAAUACGUAGGGUCCAAGCGUUAAUCGGAAUUACUGGGCGUAAAGCGUGCGCAGGCGGUUGUGCAAGACCGAUGUGAAAUCCCCGAGCUUAACUUGGGAAGUGCAUUGGUGACUGCACGGCUAGAGUGUGUCAGAGGGGGGUAGAAUUCCACGUGUAGCAGUGAAAUGCGUAGAGAUGUGGAGGAAUACCGAUGGCGAAGGCAGCCCCCUGGGAUAACACUGACGCUCAUGCACGAAAGCGUGGGGAGCAAACAGG
This 429-nucleotide ribosomal RNA is filed under the name bacterium. Its description in RNAcentral is "partial 16S ribosomal RNA". It matches the Rfam family "Bacterial small subunit ribosomal RNA", at positions 355 to 776 of the family's 1533-position model. The record is from RNAcentral. RNAcentral also lists the same sequence under 1 other name.